This 21-nucleotide non-coding RNA is filed under the name Arabidopsis thaliana (thale cress). The record is from RNAcentral. Lineage: Eukaryota; Viridiplantae; Streptophyta; Magnoliopsida; Brassicales; Brassicaceae.
UCUAAGGGUGCGAGCGAACGG